GAUGAACGCUGGCGGCGUGCCUAAUACAUGCAAGUCGAGCGAAUGGAUUAAGAGCUUGCUCUUAUGAAGUUAGCGGCGGACGGGUGAGUAACACGUGGGUAACCUGCCCAUAAGACUGGGAUAACUCCGGGAAACCGGGGCUAAUACCGGAUAACAUUUUGAACCGCAUGGUUCGAAAUUGAAAGGCGGCUUCGGCUGUCACUUAUGGAUGGAACCGCGUCGCAUUAGCUAGUUGGUGAGGUAACGGCUCACCAAGGCAACGAUGCGUAGCCGACCUGAGAGGGUGAUCGGCCACACUGGGACUGAGACACGGCCCAGACUCCUACGGGAGGCAGCAGUAGGGAAUCUUCCGCAAUGGACGAAAGUCUGACGGAGCAACGCCGCGUGAGUGAUGAAGGCUUUCGGGUCGUAAAACUCUGUUGUUAGGGAAGAACAAGUGCUAGUUGAAUAAGCUGGCACCUUGACGGUACCUAACCAGAAAGCCACGGCUAACUACGUGCCAGCCGCCGCGGUAA
RNAcentral lists this ribosomal RNA (515 nucleotides) under uncultured bacterium. RNAcentral's name for it is "partial 16S ribosomal RNA". It matches the Rfam family "Bacterial small subunit ribosomal RNA", at positions 28 to 523 of the family's 1533-position model. The record is from RNAcentral.